CUGAUGUGCAUGUAACUCAGGAGAAGUAAGAGGACAGUGUACACUUCUGCAUUUAUGUGUCAGGAAGACAAAUCCUGGAAUGAAUCCAGAUGUGCCCCAAAAUGCCAAAGCCAAGCAAAAAGGAUUUUCAAGCUAUGUUUGGGAGUAAGAAGCAGAAAUUAGAAAGGGAUAACCCUCACCCUCUUGCUUUUUGAGAAGUGUGUAAUGUUUUUUGAGACAGUCUUGCUCUUGUCACCCAGGCUAGAGUGCAGUGGCACAUCUCAG
Molecule: long non-coding RNA, 264 nt
Filed under: Homo sapiens (human)
Lineage: Eukaryota; Metazoa; Chordata; Mammalia; Primates; Hominidae
Description: non-protein coding lnc-GSK3B-2:1
Source: RNAcentral